Molecule: long non-coding RNA, 115 nt
Organism: Gopherus evgoodei (Goodes thornscrub tortoise)
Lineage: Eukaryota; Metazoa; Chordata; Testudines; Testudinidae
Exons: 3
Source: RefSeq, a predicted model, not a curated record
CCUAUCUUCCUUGAGUGCUCCUUUAGCAUCUUGAUCAUUCAGUGGCCCCAAUGAUUGUUUGGCAGGUGUCCUGCUUCCGAUGUACUUAAGAGUGUGUGUGUGUGUGUGUGUGUGU